AAGAUGAAUAUUAAUAGUUUUGUUUUUUUUAUUUUAUUUUAAUUAAAGUAAUUUUAUUAAAGUUAGUUUUAGUAUGUUUUACAGAAAUAAUAUAAUAAUUUAUAGUGUAGUAGUAUUGUGAAAGAAUUAUGAAAUAUUUGAAAAAUUUAUUUUUAGGGAAGUAAAUUAUUAAUUGUACCUUGUGUAUCAGGGUUUAUCAAUAAUUUUAUAAGGAUUAUAUAAUUCUCGAGUUAAAAAGAGCUAAUAUAACUUGCGAGUUAAUGUGAUAUAUUUAUUAGUAAUGUUAUAUUAGUAAUGAAACGUUAAUCGUUUUUUAAGAUAUCUAGUUUUCUAAGAAAUGAAUUUAAUUCAGUUUAGAAUUAGUAGUUAUUUAAAUUAGUUAAGUAGUUAUUUAUUCUAGAAAAUGACUUGGGGGAUAAGCUUUGGGCCGUAAAUUAUAAUUUAUGAGAAUUGUAUAAAAGUGUAGGCUUUAAAUUAGCUAUCUAUUUAAUAAUGUUAUAAAUUAUUUUGUAAUAAUAUGAUUUUAUAAAAAGUUUAAUUUGUAUAUUAGAAUGAUUUAAAUAAUGAAAUUUUAUUUGAAAUAAUGAUAAAAUUAGUAUAAUUGAUUGUAAUAAUAUUUAAUUUAUAUAAUUUAUGUUAAGGAAUUAGGCAAAAAUAAUGUUCGCCUGUUUAACAAAAACAUGUCUUUUAGUGAAUAAUUUAAAGUCGGGCCUGCCCACUGAUAAGUUGAAGGGCCGCGGUAUUUUGACCGUGCAAAGGUAGCAUAAUCAUUAGUUUUUUAAUUGAAGGCUAGAAUGAAUGGUUUGACGAAACAUUAACUGUCUCAAUAUAAUAAAUAGAAUUUAACCUUUAAGUUAAAAGGCUUAAAUAAGAAUGAGGGACGAGAAGACCCUAUAGAGCUUUAUAUAUUAUAUAAUAAUUUGUUGUAGAAUAUUGGGAAUAUUUAUAAAAAUAUAUUGUGUUGGGGUGACAUGAAGAUUAAAAUAACUCUUUAUAUAAAUUACAUUGAUAUAUGAAUAAUUGAUCCAUUAUUAUUGAUUAUAAGAUAAAGUUACCUUAGGGAUAACAGCGUAAUUUUUUUUAAGAGUUCAUAUCAACAAGAAAGAUUGCGACCUCGAUGUUGGAUUAAGGAAUAUAAUUAGGUGUAGAAGUUUAAAUUAUAGGUCUGUUCGACCUUUAAAUCCUUACAUGAUCUGAGUUCAAACCGGUGUAAGCCAGGUUGGUUUCUAUCUUUAUUAAUGAAAAAUGUUUUAGUACGAAAGGACCAAAUAUUUGAAAUAAUUUUGAUUUUUAAUGAUUAUUAGUA
This 1306-nucleotide ribosomal RNA is filed under the name Alloxiphidiopsis emarginata. RNAcentral describes it as "16S ribosomal RNA". The stretch from base 624 to 1306 matches the Rfam family "Eukaryotic large subunit ribosomal RNA", at positions 1891 to 3089 of the family's 3401-position model. The record is from RNAcentral. Lineage: Eukaryota; Metazoa; Arthropoda; Insecta; Orthoptera; Tettigoniidae.